Canis lupus familiaris (dog) is the source of this 1092-nucleotide long non-coding RNA. RefSeq lists it as uncharacterized. The record is from RefSeq and is a predicted model, not a curated record. NCBI's taxonomy places the organism in Eukaryota, Metazoa, Chordata, Mammalia, Carnivora, Canidae. The transcript has 3 exons.
GCCGCGCCGGCCGGCCCCAGUCCUCCCGGCGACCGCCAGGCCCACCCCGGCCUUGGCCCUCUGCCGAGGCCCAAAACCAACCCGGGGACGGGUUCUGUGUCAACAGAGGGGCUGUUUUUAGGUACAGCAAUGAGUGGUUCUCAACGAUGGCAAGUCCUAAUGGCCCAAGACAGACUGGCUACUCGAGCUGCCGGGGGCGCGGGCCUACUUAGCACCACCUUUGGAAACUCGAGCAUCUCUGUGGCGAGAUGCCCCCAACCUGCGCGGCUUAAAGCCGAACCACGCUGGUGCGAGGGGCUCUGGCAAACCAUGUGUCGCAAAAAUGCUGGCGAAUAACGCAAAUUCCUCUGCAGUUACCAAUACUGGUCUCACUUAUGUUCACUGAGUUGACAGUGAUUAAGGCUAACUCAGUGGGUGUAUAAAGAAUGAAUAAUCAGAGAGCUAGAGCCCACAUGACAACCUCACAGGAAAUUCAGCUUCCACGAAGACCCAUCAGAGAGGCAGGGCCCUCAUCCCUGCUUGGCCUUAUUUUCUUCAACUGGAAACUUUUUUCCCUUGUUUGAUCCAGCUUUUGAUGGUUUUGAAACUGAUUUGCAAGAUACAAAAAGCACUGUUAUACGCAAAUAAAGAAGAACUUCAAGCUUCUUCGAAUGAAAAAAGGCCCAAGAAAGCUUCCCCUUAAGCAACCUUAAACCCACAAGGCAUUAACUUAAACAAGCAAAUAAAUGAAAAAGACUGUGAACUAACUUGUUUGCUCCUUUGCAUUCAGUUUGAGAAAGAAACAGAUGUUUAAUAAGUGCCUGAAAUGUUCCAGGCACAAGAGUCACAACAAUCCCAUGAAGUUUGUGUAGUUUAAUUCCAUUUCAUAGGUAAGGAAACUUGAUGAAGCCGGGAGAUGGUUCUGUCCAAAUCCACACAGCCUGGAAGUAGUAUGGUCCAAAGCCCCUGACCUUUCUAAACCGGCACAUAAUUUUCAAUUUAAGUGAAAGGAUAAUAUGAGCAAAGCUAGAGGAUGAAAUAAAAAUAAUUAACUGUUAGAAUGUUUUAAAAGAAAACAAUUCAGAGAAUUACAACUAUUUAACAGGCGCCCUC